CACGGGGGGAGCAAGCGUUGUUCGGAUUCAUUGGGCGUAAAGGGCUCGUAGGUGGCUUUGUAAGUCGGAGGUGAAAUCCCACGGCUCAACCGUGGACACGCCUUCGAAACUGUGGAGCUUGAGGCUGGGAGAGGAGAUCGGAAUUCCUGGUGUAGCGGUGAAAUGCGCAGAUAUCAGGAAGAACACCCGUGGCGAAGGCGGCUCUCUGGGACGGUACUGACGCUGAGACGCGAAAGCGUGGGGAGCGAACAGG
This 253-nucleotide ribosomal RNA is filed under the name uncultured bacterium. Its description in RNAcentral is "partial 16S ribosomal RNA". It matches the Rfam family "Bacterial small subunit ribosomal RNA", at positions 524 to 776 of the family's 1533-position model. The record is from RNAcentral.